GAUGAACGCUGGCGGCGUGCCUAAUACAUGCAAGUCGAGCGAACGGACGAGAAGCUUGCUUCUCUGAUGUUAGCGGCGGACGGGUGAGUAACACGUGGAUAACCUACCUAUAAGACUGGGAUAACUUCGGGAAACCGGAGCUAAUACCGGAUAAUAUUUUGAACCGCAUGGUUCAAAAGUGAAAGACGGUCUUGCUGUCACUUAUAGAUGGAUCCGCGCUGCAUUAGCUAGUUGGUAAGGUAACGGCUUACCAAGGCAACGAUGCAUAGCCGACCUGGGAGGGGGGAUCGCCACACUGGAACUGAGGAACGGGCCAGAACUCCACGGGAGGCAGCAGGUGGGAAUCUUCCGCAAUGGGCGAAAGCCUGACGGAGCAACGCCGCGUGAGUGAUGAAGGUCUUCGGAUCGUAAAACUCUGUUAUUAGGGAAGAACAUAUGUGUAAGUAACUGUGCACAUCUUGACGGUACCUAAUCAGAAAGCCACGGCUAACUACGUG
This 497-nucleotide ribosomal RNA is filed under the name uncultured bacterium. Its description in RNAcentral is "partial 16S ribosomal RNA". It matches the Rfam family "Bacterial small subunit ribosomal RNA", at positions 28 to 507 of the family's 1533-position model. The record is from RNAcentral.